This 406-nucleotide ribosomal RNA is filed under the name uncultured Mucor. Its description in RNAcentral is "partial small subunit ribosomal RNA". It matches the Rfam family "Eukaryotic small subunit ribosomal RNA", at positions 30 to 432 of the family's 1831-position model. The record is from RNAcentral. Lineage: Eukaryota; Fungi; Mucoromycota; Mucoromycetes; Mucorales; Mucoraceae.
GCUUGUCUCAAAGAUUAAGCCAUGCAUGUCUAAGUAUAAACACCUUUAUACUGUGAAACUGCGUACAGCUCAUUAAAUCAGUAAUAAUUUAUUUGAUGGUGACUUACUACAUGGAUAACCGUAGUAACCUAGAGCUAAUACAUGCACAAAAAACCCAGACUUACGAAUGGGUGCACUUAUUAGAUAAAGCCAACGCUGGGUAAAACCAGUUUCCCUUGGUGAUUCAUAAUAAUUAAGCGGAUCGCAUGGCCUUGUGCUAGCGACAGUCCACUCGAUUUUCUGCCCUAUCAUGGUUGAGAUUGUAAGAUAGAGGCUUACAAUGCCUACAACGGGUAACGGGGAAUUAGGGUUCGAUUCCGGAGAGGGAGCCUGAGAAACGGCUACCACAUCCAAGGAAGGCAGCAGG